CUCCUACGGGAGGCAGCAGUGGGGAAUAUUGCACAAUGGGGGAAACCCUGAUGCAGCCAUGCCGCGUGUAUGAAGAAGGCCUUCGGGUUGUAAAGUACUUUCGGUAAUGAGGAAGGUGUUAUAUCUAAUAGGUAUAGCAAUUGACGUUAAUUACAGAAGAAGCACCGGCUAACUCCGUGCCAGCAGCCGCGGUAAU
RNAcentral lists this ribosomal RNA (196 nucleotides) under uncultured bacterium. Its description in RNAcentral is "partial 16S ribosomal RNA". It matches the Rfam family "Bacterial small subunit ribosomal RNA", at positions 336 to 524 of the family's 1533-position model. The record is from RNAcentral.